RNAcentral lists this ribosomal RNA (465 nucleotides) under uncultured bacterium. Its description in RNAcentral is "partial 16S ribosomal RNA". It matches the Rfam family "Bacterial small subunit ribosomal RNA", at positions 28 to 506 of the family's 1533-position model. The record is from RNAcentral.
GACGAACGCUGGCGGCGUGCUUAACACAUGCAAGUCGAACGGAAAGGCCCUGCUUGCAGGGUACUCGAGUGGCGAACGGGUGAGUAACACGUGGGUGAUCUGCCCUGCACUUCGGGAUAAGCCUGGGAAACUGGGUCUAAUACCGGAUAGGAGCCAUUUUUAGUGUGAUGGUUGGAAAGUUUUUUUCGGUGUAGGAUGAGCUCGCGGCCUAUCAGCUUGUUGGUGGGGUAAUGGCCUACCAAGGCGGCGACGGGUAGCCGGCCUGAGAGGGUGGACGGCCACAUUGGGACUGAGAUACGGCCCAGACUCCUACGGGAGGCAGCAGUGGGGAAUAUUGCACAAUGGGCGCAAGCCUGAUGCAGCGACGCCGCGUGGGGGAUGACGGCCUUCGGGUUGUAAACUCCUUUCGCUAGGGACGAAGCUUUUUGUGACGGGACCUAGAUAAGAAGCACCGGCUAACUACGU